AGGCUGCCUCAGGAUCAGGUUCAUUGUCACCAAACUGCCUUUUUUUUUUUUUUAAAGGGUAUGUGAUCUUGACUUUUUCCAUUCAUUCUUUUUUGUUGGUUUUUGGGGGGGUUUGAGGGGAGGUUAGGUUUGUUUGUUUGUUUGUUUGUUUAUUAAUGGAGGUACUGGGGAUUGAACCCAGGACCCUAAGCAUGCACUCUACGACUAAGCUCUACCCUCCCAUCCUCCAUUCAUUCUUGAUGCUCUCGUGGGACCAUUCCUCUUGCUUCCCAGGAUGCUUUGGAUGCACAGACAGCCCCGGACAGCCCAUGCUUGAUGGGACACCCUGUCCUGCUCUGCCAACUGGCUGUGUGUCUCCUGCGAUAGGGGCAGUGAGGGGACUAUUUGUGGAGGUGUGGACAGGUUAAGGGACUAAGAAGAGGUGUUGAGACCCCGGGGCUAGUGGCUCCUUGGAUGGGUGGGGACUGGGCGGUGGACCACACUUGGCUGGACCUGGUUUCCAUCCCACUCCCACUUCCUCUCAGUGCUUCUUGGCAGAAGCUGGCUGGCAGCCAGCGAGCAAGGACACCUGCGAGGUGUGGUCUGUAGGGUGAGACCUGAGGAGAGAAUUGAUUCAGAGCUGCAAACAGGACAAUCCGCCCAGGGCGGCGGUGGUUUUGUGAUGGUUCCUGAGACUCAACCAGUAUUUAGUUGGUAAAUCCCAUGUGCCAGGCACUGUGCUGGGUGCCUGGGGAUACGUGGUGGAUGCCGUUCUGGCCCUCUUGAACCCUGUGGUCUAGAGUGGCAGCUAAUGACCAUGAAAGUGCCUCUCGGCACGUGUGACAAGGACCUGAGUUCUGCACGUGAUGUUUGGGGGCUGAGGCACGCGUAGCCUCGGACAGCUCCUAAUCCCUAAGCCAUUCCUUGGAUCCACUCUGUGAUGUGAGCUUCCCCACCAGCUGACGGCCUGCCCAGGUGUCCUUGGCUUAGCCUUAGAGCAAAACAAACGUGCAUUUCCUAGUCACGCACUGACAGGAGGGACAGCAGCCGAGGAACACGCAGAGCAGGGGGGCAAAGGGAACUUGUGCUCGUUCUGCCCCACCGUCGAAAAGCCAUACACGCACAAUGAGGAACAGAUGGGUCCAGUGCAGGUGGACCACACCCCUCCCCAGCUGUAUUAUUCUUCACUGUGAUCAUCUGCUUACUUUUCAAAGCCCCUUAGCUGAUCUGCUAGUCCUCAGACCACACCCUGAGCAGGACGAUGGUAGCGGGAGACGAGUUAGAGGCCAGCGCCAUCCUCGCCAGGUGUGUCUUCAUGGUUCAGCCAGCCUCAUGUUUGCAGGCUUUCUGGAACAUUUAGAAGUCUGAAUGGCCCUCGACGCAGCGGGGCUCUCGGAGCCAGCACCCCCGCAUUCUGCUUUGGGUUCCUUUGGCAGUAAGAGGACCGUUCCCUUCGACUACUAUGUUUCUUUUAUGGUUUUUGCCUCGUUCUGCCUUGCAGUUGCACUCCUGGAAGCCGCUUUUAAGUUGGCGUUGACAAUAUGUGACUCCAGAUUGAGUCUUGAUGUUUCUUCCCUUGUCCGGCCCUCAGCACUCGACCUGGCCCUGCUGUGACCUGGCCAGCACUGUCCUUAACUAAAUGGUCCCAACAGCCCCUGGGAGAUGAACUCAGGCUGUCCCUGGUGGAGUUUACCUCAAGAACAGUAGGUGCCUCCUCAAUCUGAAUUGAUCUAUCGAGCCAAAGAGAUGAAUCCAGCCAAGGAAGUGUGUUAGCAAGAUAUGUCGGACUAAACUCCAUCACAUCCACUACAGAGAAGGCGAGAGCCCCGUUUGCUCUCUCCCCGGCCACCCAGUGAAUUCCUCCAACCUGUGUGACUGUCGGGUUCUUUCAGGCUCUGCUGCCUACAGCCAGGGGCCACAGGCUUCCUUCAAUCAGGUGAACCCCAGUGGGCACCGCUGUCUUGCAGCUACGAGGUGGCAGCG
This is a non-coding RNA of Vicugna pacos (alpaca), 1962 nucleotides long. NCBI's taxonomy places the organism in Eukaryota, Metazoa, Chordata, Mammalia, Artiodactyla, Camelidae. The record is from RefSeq and is a predicted model, not a curated record.